Molecule: ribosomal RNA, 265 nt
Filed under: uncultured bacterium
Lineage: Bacteria
Description: partial 16S ribosomal RNA
Rfam family: Bacterial small subunit ribosomal RNA
Source: RNAcentral
GAGCCCCUACGGGAGGCAGCAGUAGGGAAUCUUCCACAAUGGACGAAAGUCUGAUGGAGCAACGCCGCGUGAGUGAAGAAGGGUUCGGCUCGUAAAGCUCUGUUGGUAGUGAAGAAAGAUAGAGGUAGUAACUGGCCUUUAUUUGACGGUAAUUACUUAGAAAGUCACGGCUAACUACGUGCCAGCAGCCGCGGUAAUACGUAGGUGGCAAGCGUUGUCCGGAUUUAUUGGGCGUAUAGCGAGUGCAGGCGGGUCAAUAAAUUUG